Non-coding RNA from Schistosoma mansoni, 51 nucleotides. Lineage: Eukaryota; Metazoa; Platyhelminthes; Trematoda; Strigeidida; Schistosomatidae. The record is from Rfam.
AUCCAGCUAAUGACGAGUCCCAAAUAGGACGAAACGCGCUUUGUCCUGGAU